Molecule: ribosomal RNA, 497 nt
Filed under: uncultured bacterium
Lineage: Bacteria
Description: partial 16S ribosomal RNA
Rfam family: Bacterial small subunit ribosomal RNA
Source: RNAcentral
GAUGAACGCUGGCGGCGUGCCUAAUACAUGCAAGUCGAGCGAACGGACGAGAAGCUUGCUUCUCUGAUGUUAGCGGCGGACGGGUGAGUAACACGUGGAUAACCUACCUAUAAGACUGGGAUAACUUCGGGAAACCGGAGCUAAUACCGGAUAAUAUUUUGAACCGCAUGGUUCAAAAGUGAAAGACGGUCUUGCUGUCACUUAUAGAUGGAUCCGCGCUGCAUUAGCUAGUUGGUAAGGUAACGGCUUACCAAGACAACGAUGCAUAGCCGACCUGAGAGGGUGAUCGGCCACACUGGAACUGAGACACGGUCCAGACUCCUGCGGGAGGCAGCAGUAGGGAAUCUUCCGCAAUGGGCGAAAGCCUGACGGAGCAACGCCGCGUGAGUGAUGAAGGUCUUCGGAUCGUAAAACUCUGUUAUUAGGGAAGAACAUAUGUGUAAGUAACUGUGCACAUCUUGACGGUACCUAAUCAGAAAGCCACGGCUAACUACGUG